This 315-nucleotide unclassified non-coding RNA is filed under the name plant metagenome. RNAcentral's name for it is "partial contains 5.8S ribosomal RNA, internal transcribed spacer 2, and large subunit ribosomal RNA". The stretch from base 1 to 105 matches the Rfam family "5.8S ribosomal RNA", at positions 50 to 154 of the family's 154-position model. The record is from RNAcentral.
AAAAUGCGAUAAGUAAUGUGAAUUGCAGAAUUCAGUGAAUCAUCGAAUCUUUGAACGCACAUUGCGCCCGCCAGUAUUCUGGCGGGCAUGCCUGUUCGAGCGUCAUUUCAACCCUCAAGCCCCCGGGUUUGGUGUUGGGGAUCGGGCUGCGGUUCUACCGCGUCCCGGCCCCGAAAUCUAGUGGCGGUCUCGCUGCAGCCUCCAUUGCGUAGUAGCUAACACCUCGCAACUGGAACGCGGCGCGGCCAAGCCGUUAAACCCCCAACUUCUGAAUGUUGACCUCGGAUCAGGUAGGAAUACCCGCUGACCUUAAGC